UACGGGGGGGGCAAGCGUUGUUCGGAAUUACUGGGCGUAAAGGGCUCGUAGGCGGCCAACUAAGUCAGACGUGAAAUCCCUCGGCUUAACCGGGGAACUGCGUCUGAUACUGGAUGGCUUGAGGUUGGGAGAGGGAUGCGGAAUUCCAGGUGUAGCGGUGAAAUGCGUAGAUAUCAGGAGGAACACCGGUGGCGAAGGCGGGUCUCUGGGCCGAUACUGACGCUGAGGAGCGAAAGCGUGGGGAGCGAACAGG
RNAcentral lists this ribosomal RNA (253 nucleotides) under uncultured bacterium. Its description in RNAcentral is "partial 16S ribosomal RNA". It matches the Rfam family "Bacterial small subunit ribosomal RNA", at positions 524 to 776 of the family's 1533-position model. The record is from RNAcentral.